RNAcentral lists this ribosomal RNA (314 nucleotides) under uncultured eukaryote. RNAcentral describes it as "partial large subunit ribosomal RNA". It matches the Rfam family "Eukaryotic large subunit ribosomal RNA", at positions 40 to 350 of the family's 3401-position model. The record is from RNAcentral.
AUAUCAAUAAGCGGAGGAAAAGAAACCAACCGGGAUUACCUCAGUAACGGCGAGUGAAGCGGUAAGAGCUCAGAUUUGAAAUCGGUGACGCUUGCGGCUCCGAGUUGUAAUCUGGAGAGGAUGCUUCGGCAAGGUGGCUGGUCCAAGUUCCUUGGAACAGGACGUCAUGGAGGGUGAGAAUCCCGUCUCUGGCUGGCCGUCCGCGCUAUGUGAAGCUCCUUCGACGAGUCGAGUUGUUUGGGAAUGCAGCUCAAACUGGGUGGUAAAUUCCAUCUAAAGCUAAAUACGGGCGAGAGACCGAUAGCGCACAAGUA